ACUAUGUAUUGGGGAUAUUUGGGAGAAGAAAGGGAUCCAGCAAUUUCGAUUUAAAAUGUUUAUCUAUCUCGGCUGAGAAUUAACCCACCUCCAACGCCCCCAUCCGACGUAUGUGAGUAAUUCAAAACCGCUUUGAGGCGCAUAUCAGGGUCUUUCAGCCGGAACCAAUGAAAAAACGCAUCAAUGGGAAUCAAUGUCUCCCUCAUUGUCAUUUAUAGAUCAAAAAGAAAACGCAUCGAAGGAACUCAGUGUUGUUCCUUCAAAGAUGAAUCUAAAUUAUAAAACCACACAGUAUGAAAUGCUAGAAAAUAUUGAGACGGAAUAAUUUUUGGAAUUCCAUAACGGGUCAGUGAUUUAGGAAGUCUACAAUCUCAAUCCUAAAACCAGGAGAGUCAGUUUUUGAAAUUGUUAGGGUUUCUUUGUAGUCCGUUAUCUGGGCUUAUGGAAGGUGCUACUAAUGCUCUUUCUAAUGGGGGACUAAUUCUCUCAGCCACGAUGGAAGAACUGAAAGCUUUUUCUUCGUUGUAAGUCGCUCUUCAUUCAUCCAACCAUCCAUGGCAAAAUUUGUGUUGAUGCUCGACAUAUUUGGAGACAAACCAACAUCCAUCAGUUUGCAGAACCAACUCCAAUGGGUCUUUGCAGUGAACAAUUCGUAUAAAUAAAUGUUUCCUUCAGAUGAACCAAGGGGUCUUUGCUGAAACUGAAAAAUUCAUAUAAAUAAAUGUUUCAUUCAGAUUCUUGGUAUUCCUACUAUAAUGUUAGGCUACAUAUGGGAUGACUGCUCUCUUUGUCACACACACCAGCCUCAUUUUAAAACACCUAUCUACUUUUUCGGAUCCAACAGCAACAUUUAAGGCAGUCUGAUUUUCACCGAAUUGCAACUAGGCACGGUCUAUCACACUAGAAGUCAUGAUGCACAACAGAAAUUAAGAAUUCUCAACUAAGAUUACAACUCAAUGACAUCUGUAACCCUAUAUGCAGUUAACAAUUAACCUCUGUGUACCAGCCAAAACACAAUGAAGGAUAUGGCUCAUUCUCAGCAUUCUUAGUAUGUCAUAUCUCUCAUUUUCAUCUGAUGGUGGUUUUUGUAUGAUUCAUCGAUGUGCUACUGCAAGUCAAAUGGUUUACUCUACUGCAGCCAUUUACCUUUUCUUAAGUUGGAGUUGUUACAACCAUGGGAAUCCAUCGCUGUGCUACAAGAUACUGCAGGAAACCUUAAUUUUUGUCAGUUGACACACGUACAUAAGACUCUAUCGCUGUUCUAAAAUCUAAACUGCUAAGAAAUUUUGUUGCACCCAUGGACACUAACAUACGUUAUUAUUGGCAGCGAAGCAAAUGAAAUUAGAGCGCAUAAUUGUUUGGAAUAAGCUCAAUUAAAGUGGGUCAAUCUAAUAUCAUCGGGUGGGAUGGUUGGCGAUAAAGUUGAUCACAAAUGUUUCUCUGUGAUUAAUAUGCGCUAUGAUUGAUUACAUGAUUGUAUAAUGGCCUUUUAAGUAAUUGAUUAAAGAAAUGGCAUGAUGAAUUCAAAAU
Molecule: RNA transcript, 1530 nt
Organism: Papaver somniferum (opium poppy)
Lineage: Eukaryota; Viridiplantae; Streptophyta; Magnoliopsida; Ranunculales; Papaveraceae
Exons: 6
Source: RefSeq, a predicted model, not a curated record